Molecule: non-coding RNA, 113 nt
Organism: Acanthosepion pharaonis
Lineage: Eukaryota; Metazoa; Mollusca; Cephalopoda; Sepiida; Sepiidae
Source: the annotation of a GenBank genome assembly
UACGGUCAUAUCAAGUCGAAACACUACUUCUCGUACGAUCACCGAAGUUAAGAAACGUCGAGCUAGGUCAGUACCUAGAUGGGUGACCGCUUGGCAAUACCAGGUGAUGUAAG